This 331-nucleotide unclassified non-coding RNA is filed under the name soil metagenome. RNAcentral's name for it is "partial contains 5.8S ribosomal RNA, internal transcribed spacer 2, and large subunit ribosomal RNA". The stretch from base 1 to 120 matches the Rfam family "5.8S ribosomal RNA", at positions 35 to 154 of the family's 154-position model. The record is from RNAcentral.
GAUGAAGAACGCAGCGAAAUGCGAUAAGUAAUGCGAAUUGCAGAAUUCAGUGAAUCAUCGAAUCUUUGAACGCACAUUGCGCCGCCUGGUAUUCCGGGGGGCAUGCCUGUUCGAGCGUCAUUUCACCACUCAAGCCUCGCUUGGUAUUGGGCAACGCGGUCCGCCGCGUGCCUCAAAUCGACCGGCUGGGUCUUCUGUCCCCUAAGCGUUGUGGAAACUAUUCGCUAAAGGGUGUUCGGGAGGCUACGCCGUAAAACAACCCCAUUUCUAAGGUUGACCUCGGAUCAGGUAGGGAUACCCGCUGAACUUAAGCAUAUCAAUAAGCGGAGGA